Molecule: long non-coding RNA, 372 nt
Filed under: Homo sapiens (human)
Lineage: Eukaryota; Metazoa; Chordata; Mammalia; Primates; Hominidae
Description: HSALNT0022900
Source: RNAcentral
GGACGUGUGGCCCCGGAGACAGAUGGUGAGAGCUGCUCUCUGAGUUGAGACAGCUUGCCAGCUCUUGGUUCAGGUGCCACGCGAUGCCCUGAAGUCUGACUCUGCCCCUGUUUUGCCAUCUGAAGGCCCAAGAAUGGUGGUUCCAGGCUGGUUGAUUCAGAGGCUCAACUGUGUCAUCAGGACCAGCGAUGACCAACAGCAUCCUUCCACUCUGUUGUUUUCCUCUCAGUUCUUAAGAAGGUUGCAGCCUUUCCAAGCUUCCCAUCCAUGCAUAACAACGUCUAGUAGCUGGAGGAAAAGAAAUCAGCCUAGGGUCAUCUUGAACUCCUGGCCUCAAGUGAUCUUCCUGCUUCAGCCUCCAGAAUAGCCAGG